UGCGAGCUGGUGCAACGGCAGCACACCCGGCUCUGACCCGGGCGAUGGAGGUUCGAAUCCUCCGCUCGCAG
This 71-nucleotide transfer RNA is filed under the name Actinoplanes digitatis. It matches the Rfam family "tRNA". From Rfam's summary of the family: Transfer RNA (tRNA) molecules are approximately 80 nucleotides in length. Their secondary structure includes four short double-helical elements and three loops (D, anti-codon, and T loops). The record is from Rfam by way of RNAcentral. Lineage: Bacteria; Bacillati; Actinomycetota; Actinomycetes; Micromonosporales; Micromonosporaceae. RNAcentral also lists the same sequence under 2 other names.